Non-coding RNA from Fukomys damarensis (Damara mole-rat), 62 nucleotides. The record is from Rfam. Lineage: Eukaryota; Metazoa; Chordata; Mammalia; Rodentia; Bathyergidae.
UAGGGGAGUCGGGGCUCAGAACCCCUCCCUGAGCCUAGGGUAACUCUCAAAGUGGAGGGGAA